RNAcentral lists this small nucleolar RNA (121 nucleotides) under Echinops telfairi (small Madagascar hedgehog). Its description in RNAcentral is "Small nucleolar RNA SNORA61 (ENSETEG00000026212.1)". The record is from RNAcentral. Lineage: Eukaryota; Metazoa; Chordata; Mammalia; Afrosoricida; Tenrecidae.
ACCCUCCCGAUCCCUGCCUCACCGGACCCCAACACCGGUCUGAGUGGUUAUCAGAGAAGGGAAAAUAAGGCGGACACCGACUUCAAAGCUUCUAUAACACACGAGGUAGUCUCAGACUACG